UUGUUGUAUGAAAGGAGUGUAGGUUAGCAUUCCCCUUGACAAGGAUGGAACAGACCCCUGAGUCCAUCAACACACAUACGGUUAAGGCAUUGUCACCUACUUUGUGGCAUCUCUUACCAUCUCU
Molecule: small nuclear RNA, 124 nt
Organism: Nematolebias whitei (Rio pearlfish)
Lineage: Eukaryota; Metazoa; Chordata; Actinopteri; Cyprinodontiformes; Rivulidae
Source: RefSeq, a predicted model, not a curated record